RNAcentral lists this ribosomal RNA (422 nucleotides) under uncultured bacterium. Its description in RNAcentral is "partial 16S ribosomal RNA". It matches the Rfam family "Bacterial small subunit ribosomal RNA", at positions 360 to 774 of the family's 1533-position model. The record is from RNAcentral.
AAUUUUGGACAAUGGGGGAAACCCUGAUCCAGCCAUCCCGCGUGUAUGAUGAAGGCCUNCGGGUUNUNAAGUACUUUUGGCAGAGNCGAAAAGGUACCUCCUAAUACGAGGUACUGCGUACGGUAUCUGCAGAAUAAGCACCGGCUAACGACUGGCCAUCAGCCGCGGUAAUACGUAGGGUGCAAGCGUUAAGCGGAAUUCCUGGGCGUAAAGCGUGUGUAGGCGGUUCAGAAAGAAAGAUGUUAGAUCCUCGGGCUCAAACUUGGAACUGCAUUUUUAACUGCCGAGCUAGAGUAUGUCAGAGGGGGGUAGAAUUCCACGUGUAGCAGUGAAAUGCGUAGAUAUGUGGAGGAAUACCGAUGGCGAAGGCAGCCCCCUGGGAUAAUACUGACGCUCAGACACGAAAGCGUGGGGAGCAAACA